CGGAACGGGUGAGUAAUACAUAAGUAACCUGCCCUAGACAGGGGGAUAACUAUUGGAAACGAUAGCUAAGACCGCAUAGGUACGGACACUGCAUGGUGACCGUAUUAAAAGUGCCUCAAAGCACUGGUAGAGGAUGGACUUAUGGCGCAUUAGCUGGUUGGCGGGGUAACGGCCCACCAAGGCGACGAUCCAUAGCCGGCCUGAGAGGGUGAACGGUCACAUUGGGACUGAGACACGGCCCAGACUCCUACGGGAGGCAGCAUG
RNAcentral lists this ribosomal RNA (264 nucleotides) under uncultured bacterium. RNAcentral's name for it is "partial 16S ribosomal RNA". It matches the Rfam family "Bacterial small subunit ribosomal RNA", at positions 98 to 353 of the family's 1533-position model. The record is from RNAcentral.